This 69-nucleotide transfer RNA is filed under the name Phrynosoma platyrhinos (Desert horned lizard). RNAcentral's name for it is "tRNA-OTHER". Lineage: Eukaryota; Metazoa; Chordata; Lepidosauria; Squamata; Phrynosomatidae. The record is from RNAcentral.
GCCAGUGUGAUGCAGUGGUUUGGGUGUUGGACUGCAACUCGAGACCAGGGUUCAAUUCCCUGAUUGGUC